GGGGCGGGGCCGGCGGGGGGUUGUCGCAGAAGUGAUGCAGAGCCCGCCUGGCGUAACAAAGCCCGAGCGCGGGAGGCGACGCUGGCUGACUGCUGUGGGCACGUGCUCCCGGCAGGCUUUGCGCAGCUGCGCACCUGCCCGCGGCGCCUGACGAAUCGCCACCUCCUGUGGGCGCCUGAAGACGCGUUUGAGGUUUUCACAUUUGCAGUUUAUUCACGAUCAGAAGGUGGUAGUAUCUGAACACAUCCCUCUUCUUGCACUAACUGGGAAAAACGAUAAGAGUUUUGCUUAGGCCUUUUCGCCUGCAGUAUUUGCUGAAAUCCUUCCCACUGAUCUGUACAUCAUAGUCCUUGCACUCCCUGAAGACUUUGACUCCAAGUUAAGAAGUGAGCUCUCCAUCAGGGCCCACGAUACACACACGCACGCGAGAUAACCUAAGGUUGCGAAGGAGCUUAGCGACGCUUGCACGGAUCUCCAGCAGCGAGCGGCCGGAGCUCCCGCGGGAACAAGCCCGCACUUGGCGGCCGCGCGGGUGCUCCAGGUUUCCUCCUCCUGGCUCUCCAACCCGCAGGACAAAGGCUGCAGCGACGGUCACGCGACUAGGGAUCCCAGAGAAGCGAGGGCAGGGGACACCUCGCUAGACCCAGGUGGUCAGCAC
Molecule: long non-coding RNA, 658 nt
Organism: Enhydra lutris kenyoni (northern sea otter)
Lineage: Eukaryota; Metazoa; Chordata; Mammalia; Carnivora; Mustelidae
Exons: 4
Source: RefSeq, a predicted model, not a curated record